RNAcentral lists this unclassified non-coding RNA (520 nucleotides) under uncultured Glomus. RNAcentral describes it as "SSU rRNA". It matches the Rfam family "Eukaryotic small subunit ribosomal RNA", at positions 569 to 1090 of the family's 1831-position model. Lineage: Eukaryota; Fungi; Glomeromycota; Glomeromycetes; Glomerales; Glomeraceae. The record is from RNAcentral.
AGCAGCCGCGGUAAUUCCAGCUCCAAUAGCGUAUAUUAAAGUUGUUGCAGUUAAAAAGCUCGUAGUUGAAUUUCGGGAUCAAGGAAUCGGUCAUGCCUCGGUAUGUACUGGUUUUAUUGGUUCUCGCCUUCUAAAGAACCAUGAUGUCAUUCAUUUGAUGUUAUGGGGAAUUAGGACUGUUACCUUGAAAAAAUUAGAGUGUUUAAAGCAGGCUUACGCUUGAAUACAUUAGCAUGGAAUAAUGAAAUAGGACAUCAGAUUCUAUUUUGUUGGUUUCUAGGAUCGAUGUAAUGAUUAAUAGGGAUAGUUGGGGGGCAUUAGUAUUCAAUUGUCAGAGGUGAAAUUCUUGGAUUUAUUGAAGACUAACUACUGCGAAAGCAUUUGCCAAGGAUGUUUUCAUUAAUCAAGAACGAAAGUUAGGGGAUCGAAGACGAUCAGAUACCGUCGUAGUCUUAACCAUAAACUAUGCCGACUAGGGAUCGGAUGAUGUUUAUUUUUUAGUGACUCAUUCGGCACCUUA